Molecule: long non-coding RNA, 743 nt
Organism: Thunnus maccoyii (southern bluefin tuna)
Lineage: Eukaryota; Metazoa; Chordata; Actinopteri; Scombriformes; Scombridae
Exons: 3
Source: RefSeq, a predicted model, not a curated record
CGUAUCAAGCCUUUCGUCACACCGGGUUGUUGCCAAGAUACAUAGAUCACUUUAUAUUAAAUUCCUUCAACUAACCUGACACACAGCUGUAAAUCAGAGCAUGAAAGGAAAGUCAAUCUGUUGCUGCGCUUUCCUCCGUCUCGUUUUCUUCUUCUCCAUAACUUUAAUGUCUUUUUGCCAAUUUGCCAAAAAAUGCCUGGACUCCCAAGCAUCGGAGGUCACCGAGGGUGAAACCACUUAACAGUCUCCGUUUUUGCCUUUUUAAUAGUUUUAUUUUUGGCUUGAUUAUGGGUGGAUUCCCUCUCUGACAGAUGCUUUCAUCCCUUACUUGUGUAUAAUUAUAUAUAAAUGAUUCAGACUGAAAUGUGCUUUCUUAAUUUCCCAGCACUCCCCAAGGUGUUAUUUACCCAUGUGUCUGAAGUCCGAUCAGAAAGGCUUCUCACCUCAUUAAGACACAGGCUAAAUGGGUUAAGGCCUGAUGAACGUUUCCAGGGAGGAGAGUCCAUAUUUCCUAAACGCCGUAUCUGCAGCUCGCAGUUUUUCCUGGGCAGACACUUUCUCUACUGACGUGGCGAACGAGAGAAAAAUUCUGGAUGAUUCACAAGUUUCCUGAUAACUACGACGUGACCCGGGACAUUAGUCAGAGAACCGUUCGGGGGUCCUGGUUCCCAGCGUCCUGGGCUCUCUCAGGAGACCAAUACGGACUGAUGGGCAGAUAGAUAGCAUCACUGCUCUGCUGCAGA